AGAGUUUGAUCCUGGCUCAGGAUGAACGCUGGCGGCGUGCUUAACACAUGCAAGUCGAACGAACCUUCGGGUUAGUGGCGGACGGGUGAGUAACGCGUGAGAAUCUGCCCUCAGGAGGGGGAUAACGGCUGGAAACGGCCGCUAAUACCCCAUAUGCCGCGAGGUGAAAUGAAUUUCGCCUGAGGAUGAGCUCGCGUCUGAUUAGCUAGUUGGUGGGGUAAGAGCCUACCAAGGCAUCGAUCAGUAGCUGGUCUGAGAGGAUGAUCAGCCACACUGGGACUGAGACACGGCCCAGACUCCUACGGGAGGCAGCAGUGGGGAAUUUUCCGCAAUGGGCGCAAGCCUGACGGAGCAACGCCGCGUGAGGGAUGAAGGCCUCUGGGCUGUAAACCUCUUUUAUCAAGGAAGAAGAUCUGACGGUACUUGAUGAAUAAGCCACGGCUAAUUCCGUGCCAGCAGCCGCGGUAAUACGGGAGUGGCAAGCGUUAUCCGGAAUUAUUGGGCGUAAAGCGUCCGCAGGCGGUCUUGUAAGUCUGUCGUUAAAGCGUGGAGCUUAACUCCAUUUGAGCGAUGGAAACUGUAAGACUAGAGUGUGGUAGGGGCAGAGGGAAUUCCCGGUGUAGCGGUGAAAUGCGUAGAUAUCGGGAAGAACACCAGUGGCGAAGGCGCUCUGCUGGGCCAUAACUGACGCUCAUGGACGAAAGCCAGGGGAGCGAAAGGGAUUAGAUACCCCUGUAGUCCUGGCCGUAAACGAUGAACACUAGGUGUCGGGGGAAUCGACCCCCUCGGUGUCGUAGCCAACGCGUUAAGUGUUCCGCCUGGGGAGUACGCACGCAAGUGUGAAACUCAAAGGAAUUGACGGGGGCCCGCACAAGCGGUGGAGUAUGUGGUUUAAUUCGAUGCAACGCGAAGAACCUUACCAGGGUUUGACAUCCUGCGAAUCUCUUGGAAACGAGAGAGUGCCUUCGGGAACGCAGUGACAGGUGGUGCAUGGCUGUCGUCAGCUCGUGUCGUGAGAUGUUGGGUUAAGUCCCGCAACGAGCGCAACCCACGUCGUUAGUUGCCAGCAUUGAGUUGGGCACUCUAGCGAGACCGCCGGUGAUAAACCGGAGGAAGGUGUGGAUGACGUCAAGUCAUCAUGCCCCUUACAUCCUGGGCUACACACGUACUACAAUGCUACGGACAAAGGGCAGCAAACUCGCGAGAGCUAGCAAAUCCCAUAAACCGUGGCUCAGUUCAGAUCGUAGGCUGCAACUCGCCUACGUGAAGGAGGAAUCGCUAGUAAUCGCAGGUCAGCAUACUGCGGUGAAUACGUUCCCGGGCCUUGUACACACCGCCCGUCACACCAUGGAAGUUGGCCACGCCCGAAGCCGUUACUCCAACCCUUGUGGAGGAGGAUGUCGAAGGUGGGGCUGAUGACUGGGGUGAAGUCGUAACAAGGUAACC
This 1446-nucleotide ribosomal RNA is filed under the name uncultured bacterium. RNAcentral describes it as "bacterial SSU rRNA". It matches the Rfam family "Bacterial small subunit ribosomal RNA". The record is from RNAcentral.